This 474-nucleotide ribosomal RNA is filed under the name uncultured organism. Its description in RNAcentral is "partial 16S ribosomal RNA". It matches the Rfam family "Bacterial small subunit ribosomal RNA", at positions 332 to 797 of the family's 1533-position model. The record is from RNAcentral.
UACACUCCUACGGGAGGCAGCAGUGGGGAAUAUUGCACAAUGGGCGCAAGCCUGAUGCAGCCAUGCCGCGUGUAUGAAGAAGGCCUUCGGGUUGUAAAGUACUUUCAGCGGGGAGGAAGGCGAUAAGGUUAAUAACCUUGUCGAUUGACGUUACCCGCAGAAGAAGCACCGGCUAACUCCGUGCCAGCAGCCGCGGUAAUACGGAGGGUGCAAGCGUUAAUCGGAAUUACUGGGCGUAAAGCGCACGCAGGCGGUCUGUCAAGUCGGAUGUGAAAUCCCCGGGCUCAACCUGGGAACUGCAUUCGAAACUGGCAGGCUAGAGUCUUGUAGAGGGGGGUAGAAUUCCAGGUGUAGCGGUGAAAUGCGUAGAGAUCUGGAGGAAUACCGGUGGCGAAGGCGGCCCCCUGGACAAAGACUGACGCUCAGGUGCGAAAGCGUGGGGAGCAAACAGGAUUAGAAACCCUUGUAGUCCCA